Molecule: long non-coding RNA, 928 nt
Organism: Capsicum annuum
Lineage: Eukaryota; Viridiplantae; Streptophyta; Magnoliopsida; Solanales; Solanaceae
Exons: 3
Source: RefSeq, a predicted model, not a curated record
GCAAAUGAUUAUUAUAAUAUUUAGUGCAAAGGGGUGGGAGCAUUAACACUUUAACUGAAAGUGUUUCAGAAACCAAAUAAGUGUGCCCUCCCCUGUACCUUUACCUCUCGUUUCUUACUGCUCUAUUUCUCUGCUUCCCACCAAAAAGAAAAGAAAAUUAUUUUGAAGAAUCAGGUGGAGGAUUAAGGGGUACGAAGGAAUUUCUGCGCAUGAGAGGCAUAUCGCUACAACCCUAAGUUAGUCUUUAUUUGAGAAAUUCUUAAAUUCUAUCAAGAAUUCAAGUUGGGGUUAAUUCACCAAAAGUUAGUGAAUUGCCUAGUGAAUAGCAGAAGUUGCUGGUUGGAAAGAUAAAAGUUGUACUUCCGCGGAUUGAGUUAUUUGGGACCCAAAAUACUAUCAUAGCUAAAUAAGCACUAAGGAUCAGGUAUAUUGAUGAGUAAACUUCUAUACUAGACACUUGUUCGUAAUCAACAAAGUAGUCGGUGAGCUCCUCUCUUAUCUGGGGCUAUUAAAUGUCGAGUAUUAUUUAAUCGUAUUUCUAGUUAUAGUUUGGGUAUGUAGGGCCCCUGCCCCGGCCACCUUCUUCAGUAUAGUUAUAAUUUCUCUUAGAGGCUUCGUAGACCGAGAUAAGUUCUCAUACGUGGUCAUAGUUCCAUAUGUUUAUAUCAAAUAGUGUUCAAUGAGAUAGAAUUGAGUUGUACAUAUCCCUUUAUCAUUGUUUGUAAAUUAUAACUCCUCAGCGUAGUAUAUAUGUCAGUCACAUAGCUAAUGCUCAUACGGUUCUUGUCCGCCCUGUCUAGGCUAAGCUAGGGGCGUGACAACACACUCUCCUCCAUUUUUUUUGUUUAGUAAACUAAAAAAUAGUUAUCCAAUAUUACUUGUCCAAUUUAAAAAACUAAGAGAUAACUUAGAAUUAUAUGUCUAUUUU